Non-coding RNA from Lolium perenne, 1045 nucleotides. Lineage: Eukaryota; Viridiplantae; Streptophyta; Magnoliopsida; Poales; Poaceae. The record is from RefSeq and is a predicted model, not a curated record.
GUCGACACUCGACAGUGCCACUCGGCGCGCAGCCACUGGCCACCUUCCGCAGCGAGACCAUCCCCCACCUCCCUCCCCCAGCUCCAGCAAGCAAGCAAGCUCCUCACCAGGCACACGCAGGCAGCUACUGUCAAAACGAAGCAGACCGCCUACUUAUUCCCAUCUCUGUCUCGGCCAAAAGAGGCAACCAAGCCGCCGCCCCAAACGCACCCACCGGCCGUCACCCCAGAGACCAUGGCCAUGGAGGUGGACGAGGACGACGUCUGGGGCGCCGUCGCCACCAGCCCCAGCGUCUCCCCGCCGCCCGCCAUCUCCACCGCGCUCAGCCUCAACACCCGCCUCCAGCUCCUCGCCGCCUCCGGCGGCGCCGGCCCCUCGUUCCUCCCAGCCAUCGUCGGCCUCGCCUCCCCGUUCCACCCCGGCGGAGGCUGCUACCGCAAUGUGGCCGCGUCGCCGUCCCCCACACCCUUCUUCUCCGCCGCGGCGGCCACCGCCCCCUUCUCCCGCCUCGCGCCCCUCGACGCCCGCCGCGCGCUGGAGCGCGAGAUGUGCCUCGGCCCGCCCCCCGCCGGUGCGGCGGCCGGCACCAGCGGCGCGGGCCCCGUGGAGCGGCGCAAGAAGCGGAUGGUCAAGAACCGGGAGUCGGCGUCCCGGUCCCGCGCGCGCAAGCAGGCGCACGUCACCCAGAUCGAGACGGAGGUCGUGGAGCUGCGGGAGGCCAACGACCAGCUCCGCGCCAAGUACGACCAGCUCAAGGCGGCGGUGGAGGUGUCGGUGCCGGUGAAGAAGACCCUCAAGAGGGUGCUCUCCGCGCCAUUCUGAUCGACUCCUCAACACCCAAGCAGCAGCAACUCCAAUCCAGCUAUCACUACCACUGCUACCACUCACAUAGUUGCAGCACCAGCUACUAGCUAGCCUAUCAUCAACAUCGUCCAUGUAAAUCCAUAUGCUACGUGUUCAUCAGGCAUAAAAGUACAGCACACACACGCAGAACACCGUCGAAAGACCUGGAAGGAACAGGUGUCCAGGAACAUUUGCAAACGAG